UACGUAGGGAGCAAGCGUUGUCCGGAAUCAUUGGGCGUAAAGCGCGCGUAGGCGGCCUUGUAAGUCCGUUGUGAAAGUCAAAGGCUCAACCUUUGAAAGCCGAUGGAUACUGCAAGGCUAGAGUUCGGAAGAGGCGAGUGGAAUUCCUGGUGUAGCGGUGGAAUGCGCAGAUAUCAGGAGGAACACCGGUGGCGAAGGCGGCUCUCUGGACGGUGACUGACGCUGAGACGCGAAAGCGUGGGGAGCAAACAGG
RNAcentral lists this ribosomal RNA (253 nucleotides) under uncultured bacterium. RNAcentral's name for it is "partial 16S ribosomal RNA". It matches the Rfam family "Bacterial small subunit ribosomal RNA", at positions 524 to 776 of the family's 1533-position model. The record is from RNAcentral.